GGCCAUCUAGCUCUUUAGGGAGAGCUAGAGUCCCUUAGCGCGGAUCACUCAGGGCCCUUUGGGCGAUCCUCUGCAGUUCCUACCACCUGAGGGACAAGCCACCAGCUCAGUCUCUGCCAAGAGCUGGGCUAGGAGGGUACCUAGCAGAGGUGACAGAUGAGGGAGGACGAGCCUGACUUGGUGCCCAACUCAAAUUGUAACAUGCAGGAUGCCAGCUCUGAGACACUGUUUCAGGUGUGCUCCUGAAGCCGCCCUAUGCAGCACACCCCAAUGCAGGUGACUGCAAGCACAUCCUUCUUGGCAGCUGGGCGGCCCAGGAAAGGUUGGGACGGGCCCCUCCUCCUGCUCUGCAAGGCACAACGUCCUGGGUGAGGCUCCCAAAGCAUGGCUCCCCCUAAAACAUCUUGCUGGAACCACCACCCACUCCCUGGGGGGCUCAGCAGCCCCAUGGCUGUGUCGCCUCCUCCCGAGAGGCUUCUCCGUGGUUAGGCCUCGGCCUGGCAGUCUUUUCUGUCAAGGGCCAGACAGCAAGUGUUUCUGGCUUUGCAGCCAUGGAAACCACUCGCCUCUGUGCUGCAGCGGGCAAACCCCACAGACAAUGCACACGCAUGGCUGGAGUUUCUCGCCCCUGGUUUAAGCUCUUCCUGCACUUCAGACACAUCCUUCUCACUCCAAAGUGGCACAAGUCCCUCAAGCCAACAACACUGGCCUCGUGAACCCCAUCUAGUCCUCAGGGAUCUCGUCCGUGGCAGCUGCCCUCUCCCCAUCCUCACCUCACUCACCACAGCUCAACUCACUGGGAGCUCGUGAGGGCAGAC
RNAcentral lists this long non-coding RNA (818 nucleotides) under Pan troglodytes (chimpanzee). RNAcentral's name for it is "long non-coding RNA NONPTRT012348". Lineage: Eukaryota; Metazoa; Chordata; Mammalia; Primates; Hominidae. The record is from RNAcentral.